AACGAGUGGCUCCAAAAACUUCUUCCUUUGUCAAAGACUGGAGCUGUUAUUCAUCAUGGCCAUAGAACCAGAGUCAGGAAACACGGCCUAGGCAAUAACAAUUAGGAUUUUCUUCAGUUAUCAAGUAUUGCCCAUUACAGAAAAUAUGGGAAACGAAGUCAGGAAGAAAAGAGAAUCACUCACGGUUCUCUCACCCAACUUUCUGGUUUUCAAAAUCUCACCUUCACUUCCUCGUGACCAGAAUGCUUGAGGCUGUCUUCUACAAACCAUUUUUUUCUCCUUGUUCUACUUAUGCUCCUUCUCCAUUUUUCCUUAUGUAUAUGCUCCUAAACUACUACUGUAUGAUCCUGGGGCUCUGUAGUGCCCCUGGCUCUCCAGAAUACUUUCUGUAAAUAUGCCUGCCACUUCUGCAACAGAUUUGGGGGUCAUUAAAGACUUUCAAAUUUAAUGAGUUAAUCCCUUUGACUUCCCAGCAAAAAGUGGGCAAAGCAGGCCAGGUGCAGUGGCUCACACCUGUAAUCCCAAAACUUCGAGAGGCCGAGGUGAGUGGAUUAUUUGAGGUCAGGAGUUCAAGACCAGCCUGGCCAACACGGUAAAACCUGUCUCUACUAAAAAUACAAAAACUAGCCAGGCGUGGUUGCGGGCACCUGUAGUCCCAGCUACUCGGGAGGCUGAGGCAGGAGAAAUGCUUGAACCCGGGAUGCAGAGCUUGCAGUGAGCCUAGCUAGGGGGAGGAGAAGAAUACAAGACACUGACUGCAGAGUUAGAGUCGAUGGGAUCUGUGUAUGUCACUGGCCAUCAGGGCAAGAAGAAAGGAAUCAAAGUUGACCUAGACGGUGAGAUCAGGUGACCACAGGAUGGUGAUGCUAUUAAGGAAGAACAAAGCAGAUGAUGAGUUCAGAGAAAGAAAACGAAAAUUGUGUUAACUUUAAUAU
RNAcentral lists this long non-coding RNA (935 nucleotides) under Pan troglodytes (chimpanzee). RNAcentral's name for it is "long non-coding RNA NONPTRT015470". Lineage: Eukaryota; Metazoa; Chordata; Mammalia; Primates; Hominidae. The record is from RNAcentral.